UCAAAUUUGAAAUCUGGGCCUUUCAGGCUCCGAGUUGUAAUUUGUAGAAGAUGCUUUGGGUGCGGCCCCGGUCUAAGUUCCUUGGAACAGGACGUCAUAGAGGGUGAGAAUCCCGUAUGUGAUCGGUGGCUUGCGCCCGUGUAAAGCUCUUUCGACGAGUCGGGUUGUUUGGGAAUGCAGCUCUAAAUGGGUGGUAAAUUUCAUCUAAAGCUAAAUAUUGGCCAGAGACCGAUAGCGCACAAGUAGAGUGAUCGAAAGAUGAAAAGCACUUUGGAAAGAGAGUUAAACAGUACGUGAAAUUGUUGAAAGGGAAGCGCUUGCAACCAGACUUGCGCGGGGUUGAUCAUCCGGGGUUCUCCCCGGUGCACUCGGCCCCGCUCAGGCCAGCAUCGGUUUUGGUGGUUGGAUAAAGGCCUUGGGAAUGUGACUUCUUUCGGGGAGUGUUAUAGCCCUCGGUGCAAUGCAGCCUACCGGGACCGAGGACCGCGCUUCGGCUAGGAUGCUGGCGUAAUGGUUGUAAGCGACCCGUCUUGAAACACGGACCAAGGAGUCUAACAUCUAUGCGAGUGUUUGGGUGUCAAACCCAUGCGCGUAAUGAAAGUGAACGGAGGUGAGAACCCUUAAGGGCGCAUCAUCGACCGAUCCUGAUGUCUUCGGAUGGAUUUGAGUAAGAGCAUAGCUGUUGGGACCCGAAAGAUGGUGAACUAUGCCUGAAUAGGGUGAAGCCAGAGGAAACUCUGGUGGAGGCUCGCAGCGGUUCUGACGUGCAAAUCGAUCGU
RNAcentral lists this ribosomal RNA (779 nucleotides) under Pezicula neocinnamomea. RNAcentral's name for it is "eukaryotic LSU rRNA". It matches the Rfam family "Eukaryotic large subunit ribosomal RNA", at positions 109 to 905 of the family's 3401-position model. The record is from RNAcentral. Lineage: Eukaryota; Fungi; Ascomycota; Leotiomycetes; Helotiales; Dermateaceae.